CAGCAUAUUGUUUUUAUUGUGCAUUCAUUAUAAAAUAUAAGUAUAUAUAAAUUAAUUAUAAAAUUAAUUAUAAAACUUAUUUUCCCCUUUGGAGCAUUAAAAAUUCCUCUUUGCCCUGAUUCCUAUGGAAAUUUUGGCAAGGAUUGGAGCAAUCCUGUGGCUGAUCACUCUCUGCUGUUGUUUUACCCCUCUUGUGUGGCACUGAACCUUUCUUUCAGCUCCUUUCUUUCUUGCUGCAGCUUCAGGAGACCAAAUCCACGUGGAGGUGAAAUCUGAACGAUCUUCAUAAUUCCCUCAAAAUUUCAAGUUCUCGCCAGGUCAUCCUUCAGCCAUGAAGUUUUGGGAAUCCCCCUAAAUUAAUUCGGUAUUUUUAUGUCUGAAAAAAGAGGAGGGUGGUGGCUGGGUUCUGUAUAUUGGAACAGGAUGAGAUUGGAGAGCAGGAAUGAGGAGCAAAGAUUUAUCACAAGGCAGAAACAACUCCAACAGCAGGUGUGGAAAGGCACAACCCCUGCCUUUUACAAAACCCUUUCCUCCUGCUGAGCUGUUCCAACCAAACCACGGGAUAACGUGUCAGGACUCGACUCCAAAAGCAUUCCACAGGUAUUCCGGGAAUCCUGACAGCUUUGUCAGCUCAGGGACUGAGAGCUGCUGGGUCUGGCCUCACUUGAGCACCCAAAGUUGUGGAAUAUUGGGAUUAUAUUUCAUUGCAGGGCCCAGGUGGGAGCUCUUUGCUUGUUUCCUCUGGUUCAUCAAGGAAUUUCAUCACGAAGUUCAUUUUCCAGCCUCUUUUUUUUUUUUUUUUCUUUUUUGCUUCCAUCGCUGGUUUUGUUGUGCCCCUGCCAGGCUGUGCAGGCAGAGGUCGUGCCCAGGUUCUCACAUUCCUGCUCCUUGCAGCGGCAUCCCGGGAAAAGAUGAUUUUCCUGACAGGAGGAGGGAUGAGUAACCAGCAGUGGCAGCAUCUCCGAGCAGCUGUGCCAUGGAUUUUUGCCCUGAGAUUUGUGGAAUCUGGCAGAACACCGAGCCAAGCUCUCGGCACAGCUGUCCCUGCCACUUCCCGGGAAAU
This 1063-nucleotide long non-coding RNA is filed under the name Chloebia gouldiae (Gouldian finch). RNAcentral describes it as "Erythrura gouldiae (Gouldian finch) lncRNA (ENSEGOG00005011156.1)". Lineage: Eukaryota; Metazoa; Chordata; Aves; Passeriformes; Passeridae. The record is from RNAcentral.